Molecule: long non-coding RNA, 381 nt
Filed under: Homo sapiens (human)
Lineage: Eukaryota; Metazoa; Chordata; Mammalia; Primates; Hominidae
Description: HSALNT0164201
Source: RNAcentral
UACAAGGGCAAACAGGAACCAAAUGGAGGGAGGAAGAAUGUGAGGAGGCAGGGGUGGGAGGCUGGGGCUCCCCAGCAUUCCCGCCUCCCUCUGCUGGUCCGUGGUGAGGGAGGAGUGAGGGCCUCCUGUGGCUGACAUUCUUCCAGGGAACUCUGCACAGUCCUGCUGAUAUCAUCAGUUUCUUUUGCUGCUGCCUUGAAAAGUAAACAAAAAAGGGCUGCAACACUGCAACUCCAUCAGGGGCAUGGGAAGAUGAGGGUGGGGAUGGGGUGAAGGAACAGGAAUCCAACAAAUAUUAAGAGGACAAACUUUGGUAGGAAAAUGAUAGACCAAGCAAAGUAAAAGGCAAACAACUUUAAUGGUUAUUUUGCUAAAGAUAAA